GUCCCCAUAGCUUAACGGCGGAGCGGUCGGCUGUUAACCGACAGGUCGCCGGUUCGAACCCGGCUGGGGACG
This 72-nucleotide transfer RNA is filed under the name Candidatus Woesearchaeota archaeon. Its description in RNAcentral is "tRNA-Asn". It matches the Rfam family "tRNA". From Rfam's summary of the family: Transfer RNA (tRNA) molecules are approximately 80 nucleotides in length. Lineage: Archaea; Nanobdellati; Candidatus Woesearchaeota. The record is from RNAcentral.